Molecule: ribosomal RNA, 465 nt
Filed under: uncultured bacterium
Lineage: Bacteria
Description: partial 16S ribosomal RNA
Rfam family: Bacterial small subunit ribosomal RNA
Source: RNAcentral
GACGAACGCUGGCGGCGUGCUUAACACAUGCAAGUCGAACGGAAAGGCCCCUUUGGGGGUACUCGAGUGGCGAACGGGUGAGUAACACGUGAGUAACCUGCCCUUGACUUCGGGAUAACUUCAGGAAACUGGGGCUAAUACCGGAUAGGAAUCCUUGCUGCAUGGGGGGGGUUGGAAAGCUUCGGCGGUUUUGGAUGGACUCGCGGCUUAUCAGCUUGUUGGUGGGGUAGUGGCUUACCAAGGCUUUGACGGGUAGCCGGCCUGAGAGGGCGACCGGCCACAUUGAGACUGAGAGACGGCCCAGACGCCUACGGGAGGCAGCAGUGGGGAAUAUUGCACAAUGGGCGGAGGCCUGAUGCAGCAACGCCGCGUGCGGGAUGACGGCCUUCGGGUUGUAAACCGCUUUCAGCAGGGGCGAAGCUUGUGGUGACGGUACCUGCAGAAGAAGCACCGGCUAACUACGUG